Molecule: ribosomal RNA, 301 nt
Filed under: uncultured bacterium
Lineage: Bacteria
Description: partial 16S ribosomal RNA
Rfam family: Bacterial small subunit ribosomal RNA
Source: RNAcentral
CAGUCGCCGCGGUAACACAGAGGGUGCGAGCGUUAAUCGGAUUUACUGGGCGUAAAGCGUGCGUAGGCGGCUUCUUAAGUCGGAUGUGAAAUCCCUGAGCUUAACUUAGGAAUUGCAUUCGAUACUGGGAAGCUAGAGUAUGGGAGAGGAUGGUAGAAUUCCAGGUGUAGCGGUGAAAUGCGUAGAGAUCUGGAGGAAUACCGAUGGCGAAGGCAGCCAUCUGGCCUAAUACUGACGCUGAGGUACGAAAGCAUGGGGAGCAAACAGGAUUAGAUACCCGCGUAGUCCCUGUCUCUUAUAC